Unclassified non-coding RNA from Pongo abelii (Sumatran orangutan), 148 nucleotides. It matches the Rfam family "Metazoan signal recognition particle RNA". From Rfam's summary of the family: The signal recognition particle (SRP) is a universally conserved ribonucleoprotein. The record is from Ensembl. NCBI's taxonomy places the organism in Eukaryota, Metazoa, Chordata, Mammalia, Primates, Hominidae.
GCUGGGCAUUGUGCUGGGCGCCUGUAAUCCCAGCUACUUGGGAGGCUGAGGCAGGAGAAUUGCUUGAACCCAGGAGGCAGAGGUUGCGGUGAGCUGAGAUCUCGCCACUGCACUCCAACCUGGGUGACAGAGCAAGACUCUGUCUCAA